Molecule: ribosomal RNA, 253 nt
Filed under: uncultured bacterium
Lineage: Bacteria
Description: partial 16S ribosomal RNA
Rfam family: Bacterial small subunit ribosomal RNA
Source: RNAcentral
UACAGAGGGUGCGAGCGUUGUCCGGAGUCACUGGGCGUAAAGGGCGCGUAGGCGGCCUGAUAAGUCGGGGGUGAAAUCCUGUGGCUCAACCACAGGGCUGCCUCCGGGACUGUCGGGCUCGAGCACAGUAGAGGCAGGUGGAAUUCCCGGUGUAGCGGUGGAAUGCGUAGAGAUCGGGAAGAACAUCGGUGGCGAAGGCGGCCUGCCGGGCUGUUGCUGACGCUGAGGCGCGACAGCGUGGGGAGCAAACAGG